RNAcentral lists this ribosomal RNA (122 nucleotides) under Heterorhabditis bacteriophora. The record is from RNAcentral. Lineage: Eukaryota; Metazoa; Nematoda; Chromadorea; Rhabditida; Heterorhabditidae.
GCUUACGACCAUACCACGUUGAAUGCACGCCAUCCCGUCCGAUCUGGCAAGUUAAGCAACGUUGGGCCUGGUUAGUACUUGGAUCGGAGACGGCUUGGGAGUCCCAGGUGUUGUAAGCUUUU